GAUGAACGCUGGCGGCGUGCCUAAUACAUGCAAGUCGAGCGAACAGACGAUGAGCUUGCUGCUCUGACGUUAGCGGCGGACGUGUGAGUCACACGUGGAUACCCUACCUAUAAUACUGGUAUAACUUCGGAAAACCGGAUCUAAUACCGUAUAAUAUAUUGAACCGCAUUGGUCAAUAGUAAAAUUCGGCUUUGCUGUCACUUAUAGAUGCUUCCGCGCCGCAUUAGCUAGUUGGUAAGGUAACGGCUUACCAAGGCAACGAUGCGUAGCCGACGUGAGAGGGUGAUAGGCCACACUGGAACUGAGACACGGUCCAUAGUCCUACGGGAGGCAGCAGUAGGGAAUCUGCCGCAAUAGGCGAAAGUCUGACGGAGCAACGCCGCGUGGGUGAUGAAGGUCUUCGGAUCGUAAAACUCUGUUAUUAGGGAAGAACAAAUUUGUAAGUAAAUAUGCACGUCUUGACGGUACCUAAUCAGAAAGCCACGGCUAACUACGUG
RNAcentral lists this ribosomal RNA (497 nucleotides) under uncultured bacterium. RNAcentral describes it as "partial 16S ribosomal RNA". It matches the Rfam family "Bacterial small subunit ribosomal RNA", at positions 28 to 507 of the family's 1533-position model. The record is from RNAcentral.